Molecule: long non-coding RNA, 536 nt
Organism: Asparagus officinalis (garden asparagus)
Lineage: Eukaryota; Viridiplantae; Streptophyta; Magnoliopsida; Asparagales; Asparagaceae
Exons: 3
Source: RefSeq, a predicted model, not a curated record
CACCUCCUUCCUCUUCAUCUCCGUUUCUCAACCACUGAGAAACGGAUGAAUCCCCCUGCCUCUUCAUCACCCGGCCCCCCCGCUCCCGCAUUUAAUCAUUCUCUCCUCUGCCGCUCCACCCACCCGGCCCCCCUCUAUCUCUUCCGCUUGCGUUUGCCACCGUUGGCGGCGGAAUCACGACGCGCAUGGUUAGAUCGCCGAGGGAUACUGGAAAGAUCACUUUUCCUUCACCACUAAAGCAGUUCCCGACGAUCGGGGAGGCGAAGAGGAUGGUUCUGGUGAGGCACGGGCAGAGCACGUGGAACGAGGAGGGGAGGAUCCAAGGGAGCUCUGAUUUCUCCGUUCUCACCCCGAAGGACGUCUCAGGCCGAAACCUCUUGCCAUGUGCUCAUCGCCGACUCUUUUGAUGUCCGCUUCACCAGUCCCUUGAUCCGACCAAAGAGAACUGCUGAGAUUAUAUGGGCUGCUCGACAGGAGGAAAUGAUAUCAGAAUCUGACCUUCGGGAGAUUUAUCUCUACGCUUUUUAAGUUAGCAG